UGGAUUAUGAAGAUAAAUUAUAUAAUCUGGUUUAUAAAAAUAAUCUAGAUGAACAUGUUUGGAGGCCAGAUUAUAUAAACUGUAAUUCAGGUUUUACAUUGCAUAAUGACCUAUCUACCAUCUGUUUUUUUUAAAGAAGAGGGUAGCGGUGGUAGAAAUGUUAUUAUCUCCAACUUUACAAGGGUAAUGGGUCAUUAGCAAUCCAUAAUCUGAUUUUAGCUGGUAUAGAGUAGAUUAUGAGUUUUUAAUAAUCUAUCCAUCUAAUUUUUAUAAUCUACACUAUAAGUUGUCCUGUUUGGAAACAUAAUAGAUUAUAAAAACUGGAUUAU
RNAcentral lists this long non-coding RNA (329 nucleotides) under Hordeum vulgare. RNAcentral's name for it is "long non-coding RNA (HVUL_LNC015836)". The record is from RNAcentral. Lineage: Eukaryota; Viridiplantae; Streptophyta; Magnoliopsida; Poales; Poaceae.